Molecule: long non-coding RNA, 488 nt
Organism: Tachyglossus aculeatus (Australian echidna)
Lineage: Eukaryota; Metazoa; Chordata; Mammalia; Monotremata; Tachyglossidae
Exons: 3
Source: RefSeq, a predicted model, not a curated record
AGAGAGUGAAAUCACAUCACUGAAGAAUCUGGGAAAGAGAUCACAUCACCAUUAAAAGCCUCCGAUUGCAACUCCCUCACUCAUAUACAGCCGUUACUUUGCCGUUCCAUGGCGACUGUGAGCGAGGCAUUUCCUCGGGACCAUUGUGCCUGGGUCUCUCUUCAUGUUGCAGAGACAUAUAUCUCCCCCACCAUUGAAGACCUUACAACCUGAUUGUAAGCUUAUUGUGGACAAGGCAAAUACCAUUAUCAUUAUUAUCAUGAUGGCAAGGUUCUCCUUGGAAAGAAGACACUGGCGGGGAGCUACAUUUUCCCCGGGACAAAACCUCCGAUCAGCAGCCAGAGGGCAGUGGAAUCACAACAAAGAAACAGUGCUUGGCACCUAACCACAUCUCCACAACAGUGUCCACUGGGACUAAUUGCCUUCAUCUCCCCACAUGGGACUUUCCCCUUGACUCCUGUCUCCAAAAGCCGCAUCAGGUCAUUAAA